AUCAAGACUUCAACACAACCAACAAAACAUCAUAGAGCUGAGACUCUGAACCAGUUGGUUCUGUAUAGCACACCUGCUAACAGAGAGUCACUCAUUUAUUGAUCACAAUGGCAAACACUGAUUAUAGAUGUUCUUCUGCUGGCAUCAAUGAGAAGAACCAAUUAUGCUUCUUUAUUUUUCAGAUCACCAGAGACAUGACAUUUUCAGAGGACUGAAUCUUCCUCAGCCAUGACCCAGAGACAUCUGUGGCUAGAAAACAGAAACUUACUAGGGAGUUAAAGGUUACCCUUUCUCACUGGAUGAAGGCAGAUAUCUGUUCAAGAAGUGAAUAUUUUUAAAAAAUUGCCUGAAUGAAGUUUAAAUUAUCUUCCUGGUUGCUGCCGCCACAGAGAGCCCGAGGGCAGCACCCCGAGAGUGAACUUGAGCCUCGGGACCACAGGAAAUGUGAUGGGAAAGAUCAUCUAUUCGGGACAGCAGGACCACCAUUUGUAGACGCUUGGGUGUGGACAUCACUAGUGUUGCAGUAGAAGAUUCACUAGAUCUACCUCAAAAAACAGCUAUACCACUCCUGAGCAUAUACCCAAAAGAAGCUUGUCUAUGCUCAUCUAUGAUCAUAUCAGCUUUAUUUAUAAUAGUCAGAAACUGGAAACAACCUAGAUGUCCCUCAGCCAAAGGAUUGAUAAAGACAAUAUGGCACAUUUACACAUGGAGUACUACUCAGCUACAAAAACCAAUGACAUCAUGAAAUUUAGAAGCAAAUGAUGAACUAGAAAAGAUUGUCCUGAGUGAGGUAACCUAAGCCCAGAGAGAAAACAUGAGGAUUCAAGAUCAGUUCCUGGUACCCACAUCUUGGCUCGCAGCUGUCUAUAAGUCCAGUUUAAAAAAGUCUGAUGCCCUCCUCUGACUUCCGUUGUCACCAAUCAUGGAUGUAAUAGAUGCACAUACCUUCAGAUAAAAUAUUAUACCUAUAAAAUUGAAUGAAUAAAUCUUUAAAAUGGGGAAUAAUAUAACAUAAUACAAUUAA
Long non-coding RNA from Rattus norvegicus (Norway rat), 1024 nucleotides. RefSeq lists it as uncharacterized. NCBI's taxonomy places the organism in Eukaryota, Metazoa, Chordata, Mammalia, Rodentia, Muridae. The record is from RefSeq and is a predicted model, not a curated record.